This 851-nucleotide ribosomal RNA is filed under the name Virgibacillus olivae. RNAcentral describes it as "bacterial SSU rRNA". It matches the Rfam family "Bacterial small subunit ribosomal RNA", at positions 56 to 868 of the family's 1533-position model. The record is from RNAcentral. Lineage: Bacteria; Bacillati; Bacillota; Bacilli; Caryophanales; Bacillaceae.
UGCAAGUCGAGCGCGGGAAGCAGGCGAUCCUCUUCGGAGGUGACGCCUGUGGAACGAGCGGCGGACGGGUGAGUAACACGUGGGCGACCUGCCUGUAAGAGUGGGAUAACCCCGGGAAACCGGGGCUAAUACCGGAUAAUACUUUUCGUUGCAUAACGAGAAGUUGAAAGGCGGCUUUUAUCUGUCACUUACAGAUGGGCCCGCGGCGCAUUACCUAGUUGGGAAGGGAACGGCUUACCAAGGCGACAAUGCCUACCCCACCUGAGAGGGUGAUCGGCCACUCUGGGACUGAGACACGGCCCAGACUCCUACGGGAGGCAGCCAUAGGGAAUCUUCCCCUGUGGACGUAAAGUCUGACGGACCAACGCCGCGUGAGUGAUGAAGGUUUUCAGAACUGAAAACUCUGUUGUCAGGGAAGAACAAGUGCUCUUUAAAUAAGGAGGCACCUUGUCGGUACCUGACCACAGAGCCCCGGAUAACUACGUGCCGACAGUCGCGGUUAUACAUAGGGGGCAAGCCGUGCGCAGAAUUAUUGGGCGUAAAGCGCGCACAGGCGCUCCUUUAAGUCUGAUGUGAAAGCCCGCGGCUUAACCGUGGAGGGCCAGUGAAAACUGGAGGACUUGAGUACAAAAGAAGAGAGGGGAAUUCCACGUGAAGCGGAGAAAUGCGGAGAGAUGUGGAAGAACACCAGUGGCACGCGCGACUCUCUGGUCUGUAACAGACGCUGAGGUGCGAUAGCGUGGGGCGCCAAACAAGUAUACAUACUCUGGUAGUCCACGGCGUACACGAUGAGUGCUAGGUGUUAGGGGGGUUUCCGCCCUCUUAGGGCUGGAGACACGGCAUUAAACGCU